ACGCGAGCUGGGUUCAGAACGUCGUGAGACAGUUCGGUCCCUAUCCGUCGCAGGCGUAGGAAAUUUGAGAAGACCUGUCCUUAGUACGAGAGGACCGGGAUGGACGUACCUCUGGUGUACCAGUUGUUCUGCCAAGGGAAUGGCUGGGUAGCUAUGUACGGAAUGGAUAAGCGCUGAAAGCAUCUAAGCGCGAAGCCAACUUCAAGAUAAGAUUUCCCACCGCAAGGGUAAGACCCCAGAAAGACUAUCUGGUUGAUAGGUCGAAGGUGUAAGUGCAGCAAUGUAUUUAGCUUAUCGAUACUAAUAGGUCGAGGACUUGACCAAU
This 325-nucleotide ribosomal RNA is filed under the name Clostridioides difficile. RNAcentral's name for it is "bacterial LSU rRNA". It matches the Rfam family "Bacterial large subunit ribosomal RNA", at positions 2598 to 2925 of the family's 2925-position model. Lineage: Bacteria; Bacillati; Bacillota; Clostridia; Peptostreptococcales; Peptostreptococcaceae. The record is from RNAcentral.